This 1394-nucleotide long non-coding RNA is filed under the name Anas platyrhynchos platyrhynchos (common mallard). RNAcentral's name for it is "lncRNA (ENSAPLG00000025389.1)". The record is from RNAcentral. Lineage: Eukaryota; Metazoa; Chordata; Aves; Anseriformes; Anatidae.
CUUCUCCUCCGCCUCGCUGCGGGGGGGGGGAGAAAAGAGGGGUGUUAGGGGGAGGGGGCGCGGGGGUUGUGGGGGUUGUGGGUGUGGUGGGUGUUGGUAUGGUCAUGGGUAUCGUCAUGGUCAUGGGCAUGGGUAGCGUUGUCAUGGGCAUGGGCAUCAUCAUCAUCAUGGUCAUGGUUAUCGUCAUCAUGGGCAUCAUCAUCGUUAUCAUGGGUAUCAUCAUCGUUAUCAUGGCCAUUGUCAUCAUUAUCAUGGGUAUCGUCAUCAUGGUCAUGGUUAUCGUCAUCGUCAUGGACAUGGGUAUUGUUGUCAUGGUCAUGGGUAUCGUCAUCGUUAUCAUGGUUAUCGUCAUGGGUAUGGGCAUCAUCAUUGUUAUCAUGGGUAUCGUCGUCAUGAUCAUGGGUAUCGUCAUCGUCAUCAUGGGUAUCGUCAUCUGGUCAUGGUUAUCGUUAUGGUCAUGGGUAUCGUCAUCAUUAUCAUGGGUAUCAUCAUUAUGGCCAUUGGCAUCGUUAUCAUGGGCAUUGUCCUCAUGGGCAUGGUCAUGGUUAUCGUCAUUGUCAUGGACAUGGGUAUCAUCAUCAUGGUCAUGGUUAUCGUCAUCAUGGUCAUGGUUAUCGUCAUCAUGGUCAUGGGUAUCAUCAUCGUUAUCAUGGGCAUUGUCAUCUGGUCAUGGUUAUUGUUGUCAUGGGCAUGGGUAUCGUCAUCAUGGCCAUUGGCAUUGUCAUCAUGAUCAUGGUUAUCAUCAUCAUUAUCAUGGGUAUCGUCAUCGUUAUCAUGGGUAUCGUCAUCAUGGUCAUGAUAAUCGUCAUGGGUGUGGGUAUUGUCAUCAUGAUCAUGGUUAUCAUCAUCAUUAUCAUGGGUAUCGUCAUCGUUAUCAUGGUUAUCGUCAUGGUCAUGGGCAUCAUCAUUGUUAUCAUGGGUAUCGUCAUCGUUAUCAUGGGUAUCGUCAUCAUGGGCAUGAUAAUCGUCAUGGGUGUGGGUAUUGUCAUCAUGGUCAUGGUUAUCGUCAUCGUCAUGGACAUGGGUAGCAUCGUCAUGGGCAGUGGCAUCAUCAUCGUUACCAUGGGUAUCGUCAUCAUGGUCAUGGUUAUCAUCAUCAUGGGCAUCGUCAUCGUUAUCGUGGGUAUUGUCGUCAUGGUCAUGGUCAAUGUCAUCGUCAUUGUCGCCAUUGUCAUUGUCAUCAUCAUCAUCGUCAUUGUCAUGGUCAUGGUCAUCGUCGCCGUUACCACGGUCACACCCAUCCUCAUCCUCAUCAACCCCAUGCACCAGGGGACAUGCAGGGGGCUGGGGGUGGGGGUCAGGGGACAGCCCCCCCCCCACCCCAAGGUGUCCCCCCCUCCCUCCCCAGGGGACACAGAGGGAACCCAAAGCCCCCUCCCCAAAUUGGGGGCUGC